AGCAUAUCAAUAAGCGGAGGAAAAGAAACCAACAGGGAUUGCCCUAGUAACGGCGAGUGAAGCGGCAACAGCUCAAAUUUGAAAUCUGGCUCUCUUUGGGGGUCCGAGUUGUAAUUUGCAGAGGAUGCUUUGGCAUUGGCGGCGGUCUAAGUUCCUUGGAACAGGACAUCACAGAGGGUGAGAAUCCCGUACGUGGUCGCCUGCCUUUGCCGUGUAAAGCUCCUUCGACGAGUCGAGUUGUUUGGGAAUGCAGCUCUAAAUGGGAGGUAAAUUUCUUCUAAAGCUAAAUACCGGCCAGAGACCGAUAGCGCACAAGUAGAGUGAUCGAAAGAUGAAAAGUACUUUGGAAAGAGAGUCAAAAAGCACGUGAAAUUGUUGAAAGGGAAGCGCUUGCAGCCAGACUUGCCCGCAGUUGCUCACCUAGGCUUUGGCCUGGGGCACUCUUCUGCGGGCAGGCCAGCAUCAGUUUGGGCGGUUGGAUAAAGGCCUCUGUCACGUAUCUUCCUUCGGGAUGACCUUAUAGGGGAGGCGUAAUGCAACCAGCCCGGACUGAGGUCCGCGCAUCUGCUAGGAUGCUGGCGUAAUGGCUGUAAGCGGCCCGUCUUGAAACACGGACCAAGGAGUCUAACAUCUAUGCGAGUGUUUGGGUGUCAAGCCCGGGCGCGCAAUGAAAGUGAACGGAGGUGGGAACCCUUUGGGUGCACCAUCGACCGAUCCUGAUGUCUUCGGAUGGAUUUGAGUAAGAGCAUAGCUGUUGGGACCCGAAAGAUGGUGAACUAUGCUUGAAUAGGGUGAAGCCAGAGGAAACUCUGGUGGAGGCUCGCAGCGGUUCUGACGUGCAAAUCGAUCGUCAAAUUUGGGCAUAGGGGCGAAAGACUAAUCGAACCAUCUAGUAGCU
Molecule: ribosomal RNA, 898 nt
Filed under: Paraconiothyrium brasiliense
Lineage: Eukaryota; Fungi; Ascomycota; Dothideomycetes; Pleosporales; Didymosphaeriaceae
Description: eukaryotic LSU rRNA
Rfam family: Eukaryotic large subunit ribosomal RNA
Source: RNAcentral